Molecule: ribosomal RNA, 460 nt
Filed under: uncultured bacterium
Lineage: Bacteria
Description: partial 16S ribosomal RNA
Rfam family: Bacterial small subunit ribosomal RNA
Source: RNAcentral
CCUACGGGUGGCAGCAGUGAGGAAUAUUGGUCAAUGGCCGGAAGGCUGAACCAGCCAUGCCGCGUGAAGGUCAGUGCCCUAUGGGCGUUAAACUUCUUUUGUGCAGGAACAAUAAUGGUCACGUGUGGCCAGACGAGUGUACCGUACGAAUAAGCAUCGGCUAACUCCGUGCAAGCAGCCGCGGUAAUACGGGGGAUGCAAGCGUUAUCCGGUUUUAGUGGGUUUAAAGGGUGCAUAGGCUGUGAGGUAAGUCAGCGGUGAAAUGCCCCCGCUCAACGGGGUGAAGUGCCAUUGAUACUGCUUGGCUGGAAUGCGGAUGCCGUGGGAGGAAUGUGUGGUGUAGCGGUGAAAUGCAUAGAUAUCACACAGAACACCGAUUGCGAAGGCAUCUCACGAAUCCGCGAUUGACGCUGAUGCACGAAAGCGUGGGUAUCAAACAGGAUUAGAUACCCUUGUAGUC